UCAAUUUAUUUGUAAGAAAAUAUAUACUUUAUAAAUUCAACAAGAUAGGUGCAUGUUUCAAAUUUGUGUUGGAAGCUUAAUCAAAAUUAAACAUGUUUGCGUCAAGAUUAUGGAGAUCAUACUGCUCCUCAAGUACCCUUCCACUUGUAAAUCAUUCAAGAAUAUUUCUACCCUCUUUUCUUGAUCCAAGCAGGAGUUUAAGUUCACCAAAAUCCAAUUUUCACCAAUUUUUAACUUCUGAUUAUGUGUUAUUUUCACACAGCAUCAUCAGCAGGUUAGUUUCGUAGUAAAAUUCACAUGCAAAUUUCUCUCUCCACUCUCUUUAAUUAUAUUGCAUUUUGGUUUAAUUAAUUCAAUUCCUCUCAUACAUACNNNNNNNNNNNNNNNNNNNNNNNNNNNNNNNNNNNNNNNNNNNNNNNNNNNNNNNNNNNNNNNNNNNNNNNNNNNNNNNNNNNNNNNNNNNNNNNNNNNNAUAUAUAUAUAUAUAUAUAUAUAUAUAUAUAUAUACACACAAAACCGAUCAGGUGAGGGCUCCCUUACUUUGUUAAAAUGCGGACCUUUUGUUAUACGUAUCCAAAUCACAUCCAAAACACUGUAUUAUGAAAAAAUUCAGUUCCAUAAAAUAUUAAACUUUUUUUUUAGUUAUUUUAAAAAUAAAAAAAAUCAAAAAAAAUCAACAAAAAAAAAGUCCGCAUUUUAAUAAAGUAAUGGAGUCCUUAUCUGAUUCAUCACCCUAUAUAUAUAUAUAUAUGUACGUCCGCGUACUCCUUUUUAUCCAACAUAGUCGGGAGCUUGUUCAUUUUGCUGUAUCUGGGGUGUUAAGGCUUGUGAAGUUUGGGCUUAUAAUUAAUGCGCUUUUGAGUUAAAUAAAUUUAAUUUAAUAUAGAUUAUCUAAACUUUAGAAGAACAAAAUUAUCAAAUGCAGUAUUUGAGGUCUAAAAGCCCCCAAGGCUGCUUAGAUAUAUACAAACACAUAUUUAAAUGUUUAAUGUUUUAAAAGCCAUGAAUUAAGUUGUAAAUAAUUCGAUGCUGUCAUUUGUGUUUAGUCAGCUCCAUGUCGAGUCGAUCGGCAUAUAUAACAAAACUCUUUUAUUUACCUAUAAAUAUAUUUUUUGGAUCAAACUGUAACAAUAAUCUAUUACAAAAUAUGAAAAGAUUAUAAUAAUUAGAAUCACAUUAAUCAGUGGAUCAAUUACAUUUAAUUUAUAGUCUUAACAUUAAUUUCCUCAUGAUAUGCAUGCAUGUAGGAACUUUGCAUCCUUCAGUAGUGUUCAUCCAGGACCUCCAAGCCCAUCUGGGAAACCUUCAAAUUCUUGGUAAUUGUCAAUGAAUACUAUAUAUUCUUACAGGUUUUUUAAUUUUAUUUAUUUAUUCAAUUUUAAUAUAUAUAUAUAUAUAUAUAUAGGCUAACCUUAAUCUAACAAAUGUCAUGAUAUAGGAAAAAAUGGGUUGCCGGAAUGCUACUAUCCAUAGUUACAUUACCCUUUGGCAAGGACAAAUUAAAUUCAUUCCUGAAAUUGAAAAGUACGUACGACUGGUAACACAAUUGCUGACCCUAUCCAAGUUUCUUGAUUUUUCCAGCAAUUCAUGCUUUACAUUAUUAGACAGGAAAUUAAAUUUAUGGACAUAUAAUAUAUAUAGCUAGGGCAAAUUAAUUGUAUACAAUUAUUUAUUGGACAAAUAUAAUCUUCCACCGAAAUAUUUGUCUACAUAAACAAUUGUUCUGUCCAUACAUACAUAUAUAUAUAUAUAUAUAUAUAUAUAUAUAUAUNNNNNNNNNNNNNNNNNNNNNNNNNNNNNNNNNNNNNNNNNNNNNNNNNNNNNNNNNNNNNNNNNNNNNNNNNNNNNNNNNNNNNNNNNNNNNNNNNNNNAUAUAUAUGACUAAAUACAGUUUACUACAUGAAUUACCAUCAUAUUCAUUAUUAGACCCGGCCCCAAAAAAUUUGGGCUUACAUUUUACUACAUCAAGUGUCUAAUUUAAUAUAAUUUAGCCCCAAAUUUCAGAAUCCGGCCAAAAUUGGCCGGAAUACCAAAUUUUUUGGCUAGAUACAGUAUAAAAUACGGGCUAAUUACACUUAUGUUAUAUUAAGUACUACCAAAUUCACAAUUUACUACAUCAAGUACUUAAUUCGUAUAAAAUUUGUAUAAAUAUUUAUUUUGACGUACGUAUUAAAUAUGUAUAAAUCCUUAUAAAUAAUUAUUAUAUAUUAAAUUAUUAAAAUUAAAUAUUAAUAGAAAGAUUACCCAAUAUUAUUUUUUUAAUUUAAAAAUUUUAAAAGACUUAAUUACCAAAAAAAAUCAAUAAACUUUUAAACAUACAAAUUAUAUUUUUAACACGAAUAACAUUAAACUUUUAAACAAUUGACAAAGUGCCCAAAAUUUAAUCAAUUAAAUAAUACCCUUUUAUAUUAGAAUAGCAUACAAAAGGAGGAGGGAAAAAAAGAAAAAGAAAAAAAUGACUCACGCUCUCUCUUCUCGCUCCCUCCCUCCCUCCCUCCCUCCCUCCCUCUUCCCUAAUCUUUUAAAUUGUUUUGUUCCUUCAAAUUUAGAAAUUUUAACAAUUUUUUAAUAUAAAUUUUACAAAUUAUAUCACAACUUCAAUUUUACAAAUUUUAUUUAUACUUUUACUUUUAUAAAUUCAAAAAGAAAAAAAAUGACUCAUUUGCUCUCUCCCUCUUCUCUAAUCCUUCAAAUUAUUUUAUUCCUUCAAAUUUAGAAAUUUUAACAAAUUGUAUAUACAAGUUUUACAACUUAAAUCUUGCACAUUAUAAAUUUUAUGUCUUAAAUUUUAUAAAUUGUAUGUAUAAAUUUUACAACUUAAAUCUUGCAAAUUAUAAAUUUUAUGUCUUAAAAUUUACAAAUUGUAUGUACAAAUUUUACAACUUAAAUCUUGUAAAUUAUAAAUUAUAAAUUUUGUGUCUAAAAUUUUACUAAUUGUAUGUAUAAAUUUUACAACUUAAAACUUGCAAAUUAUAAAUUAUAUCAUAAAUUAUAAAUUUUACGUCUUAAACUUAACAAAUUGUAUGUAUAAAUUUUACAACUUAAAUCUUGCAAAUUAUAAAUUAUAUCAUAAAUUAAAAAAUUUACGUCUUAAAUUUUACAAAUUAUAUCACAACUUAAAUUUUAUAAAUUGUAUUUAUAAUUUUAUACCUUAUUUCUACGGCAUUAGUUACUUUUUGUAAAGUGCUGAAAAUAUUAUAUUUAUAAUUUUUUUAAUAAUUUUAAUUUUUUUUCCUUUGGGGGACGAAUCAUGAAUAUGGUGGUACUUGAUGUAACUGAAUAGUAAAUAGUCCUUUUUAAAAUUAAGUCAAACUGUAUAUUUAUAUGGUCAACUGGUAUUAAAUACACAAAACCCGAUCGAAUUUUUGGACGGGUCGGGUAUUCCGACCAAUUUUAGCCGAAUUCGGAAAUUGGGGUUUAAAUUGUAUUAAAUUAGGUACUUGAUGUAGUAAAGUGUAAGCUCAAAUUCUUUGGGGCAAAUUAUGAAUUUGAUGGUACUUCAUGUAACAGAAGUGUAAUUAGCCCAUAUAUAUAUAUAUAUAUAUAUAUAUAUAUAUANNNNNNNNNNNNNNNNNNNNNNNNNNNNNNNNNNNNNNNNNNNNNNNNNNNNNNNNNNNNNNNNNNNNNNNNNNNNNNNNNNNNNNNNNNNNNNNNNNNNUUAUAAUAUAUACAAAUUUAAAUCAAAUUAGGAUAAUUAGUUAUUAUUUUGUUUUGUUUUUAAUUUUAAUUGUGAUUUUAUAUUUGUAAAGUGUAAUAAUAAAUAUAUUUUUUCAUUUUUAAGUAAAAUAACAAAUUCAAUUUAUACUUAUAUUUAUUAUAAAACUAGCAAGUUAUUAUGUGUAUAUUCGAAUUCGAACUUGAAUUUGAAGCUCGCGAGUAGUUUGAAUAAAUAUUCGAGUCGAGUCGGAUCGAAUUCGAGUAAUAAAUAUUCGAGUCGAGUCGAGUCGAAUCUGAGUAGGAUUUUUCAAAUAUAAUUCGAAUUCAAGCCGAAUUUGAAUACGAAUUUAUCAUUUCGAGUCGAAUUCGAGUAGCUCUCUGUUCGCUUCGGUUCGACUCGUUUACACCCUUAGUCGCCAUAGACUAGAAUAUAUAGCUGUAGCGACGGGUGAUGUAGUGAAUCGUAUUUUUCCUGAAUGAAUAAAUUAAGAGUUUACCAGAAUUUUUUUAUUAUGUGUUAUAUAUAUAUUGUAUAUAUUAUCAUGUGCAGUAUAAUAUGUGAUGUGGUGAUAUGUCAAAUAUAAUAAUUGAUAUUUAUUAUAUUUAGUAGUUACCCUCUACUUUAACAGAAAAUGAUUUAUGGAUAUUUUAUCCAAAAUUUUUGUAAUGUAUUUUAGUGUAUCUAAAAUAUGUUAUAAAUGGUGCAAUAAAUGCAGAAAGGGGAAGUAAAUGUUAUUUUCUCACCAACCACAGCCUUAAGAGUUAAAGCUUAACAGUAGAAAAUCAAAACUCAGCUUAGUGGUUAGAUACGUGGCUUUUAAUAUGAGAUAAUGACUCAGUAACUUAGCAUGUGCUGGCAAUCAUUUAUUAACAUAGCUCUACAAUUCAGCUUGUCUAUAAUGUGAUUAGCCGAGCUAGUAUGCUUAUAUAGCACAGUUUUAAAUUCUUAAGGUCAGUUUCUCUCUUAAGUAAAACACAAUUAGUGGUAUACAAACUCUGAAAUUUCUACGAGCUGGGCUAAGCAAGUAAGAGUUAGAAGGAUAUCAAAAUUUGGGGUUAGUAAGUAAGAAGAGCUGAAACAAAGCUGAAGCCAACGACACAGAGAUACAGAAAUUAAAGGUAAUUUUUCUUUAUACAGUAGAGUAAAGUUAUAUAUAUAUGAAAGAAGUGUGUAAUUGAUGAUUCGUUUGGUUGAUAAAAGUCUAUAUGAGAUAUAUAUCUGUGAUGCUGGGAUUAAAUGGUUGAAUAAAUUUAACUGGUAGAGUAAUUGGUAAGUUUAAUUUUUAUAACAACCGAUCAUGCAUGGGAUAUUGAAACUCACUGUUUGUUAAUAUCAAACUUUUAAAUUAAAGGAAGGCUAAUAUGUAUUUGUCUAUUUUGUUUACGGUAAAUAUGUUUGGCUAAACUGUGAAAUAAACUAUUUGUGGCUGGAAUAUUGAUUAAUGGAGAUAUGUUGGUUGUGGAGUAAUAAGGAAGCUAAACUGGGGAUUUAAAGAAAAUAAAUAGCUAUGACACAUGUGUUGUAAAACAGUGCCUGUAAAGUGUUUGAUAAAAUUCCUUAAUGAACUGUUUUGCUUAACAAUUGCUUAUUUGUCAGAAUUAAAGCUUGGGUUAUAUAUAUAUACCAUGAAUAAGGGUAAGUAAACUGUUGUGCCUUGUUAAAUGGAAUGAAAACUAAAUUUUUUAAAGCUAAAACUAAAUGCUAGAAUUUAGCCUGGCAAGCAUUUUUACUCACUGUUUUGGGGCAGUCAGUUGGCACCAAGUUGAUUGCAUAUCAUGUGUAAUGAUUAUAGAUUGCAUGUUAUUUUAAAAGGUGGAGUGUAUUAAGUAAAUAUUUCUAAGAAAAAAUUGUGAAUAACUUACCAAAUGGUUGCCAAAGAUGGCAUAGAAUAAGAACAGGGCUGCUGCCCACGGUAGCAGCCAUGGCUAUUUUUGGCAUCAGGUGGGGGCCUUCCUUGAGCUCUUAUUUAGUGCAGAUAAAUUCUAAAAUAGCCCAGCUGAUAUUGCUCUGUAAUGAGAGUAAAUACCAGUUGUGUAUUGUCCAAAACAAAGUGUAAAGGGGUCAUUAAUGUAGGGGUUAAAGCUGAGUAAGGCACUGGACGGACUGCUGCCUAUGGGCUGCAGCAGUUGAUGUCAAAAGAUUAUCUUAAUAACCUUUAGUGGAGGUACCCAUUAUAUUAUUUUUAAAACUCCAUAUAAACAAGCCAAGAAUGUAAGGAAUAAAAGUUUAACAAGGUAGUGGUUAAGAGAAGGGGGGCUGCUGCCUAACGGCAGCAGCAGUUGGCUGUUUUGGGCAAUACACAAGGGGUCUUCCCCUGCUCUUGUGGAUGUUGAAUAGUAAUAAACCAUAACGGUUGAUUAAUACUUUCUUAAAGGGGUGGGUACACCACCAAUUUGAUAUUCAAAAGGUAACAACACAUGGACCAAAAAGGUGAGAAUUAUGAUCUCUUAAAAUAAGGAAUUGGGGAAAAAGGGACUGCUGCUUAAUGGCAGCAGCAAGCAGUUGCUAUUGUUGCAUUGGUAAGCCAUUUUUGGCGUUGUGUUGUAAUUCGAGAGUUUACUCCUAACUCUUAACUUCUGGAUAUAAUAUAUAUAUAUAUAUAUAUAUAUAUAUAUAUAUAUAUAUAUAUAUAUAUAUAUAUAAUAUAUAAUAAAACCAUAACUUAAUUAGAUGGGUAAUGAAAAAAACAAGAAAGAAUUUGUAACGAAAUAGCAUAUCAGAAUGAGUCUAUAAAUCAUGAAAAAUACCACGGAAUAACCAUACAAGUGGAAUUAUCUUUGAUGUAAAAGAUAUACUAUCAAGUUACCUUGUGAAACAUGAAAUACCUUAGGUAUUCACCUUGAAUACCUAAGUUAUAAAGAAAAUUGCAAACUAUACUUGUGGCAAAUGAAAGAAGUAAAAGAAAUAUGAACUAAAAUCAUAAAAAGUUCAUGAACAGAAAUUAUGUCAGACCCUAUAACAGAAAGAAAAGGCUAUUGUAAGAACAUGAAUGAGAUAUGUGAAAAAAUGUAAAUAAAUAUCUCAAGUAUAAGAAUAUAAACUAAAAACAUGAUCACUGUGAUUAUGUGAUAUGUGAAUAUACAAGCUAUAUGACUUGGCUAUUUGGCUAAUAUGGUUGUGAAUGCAAAUAAUUAUGUAGGAUCUGUGAGAAUACACAAGUGAGAAUACACAAGUUAAGCUGAAAAUUGUACAAAUAGUCUACAAACAAGGAAAUUAUCUAAAUCUUACUCUUUAUUGAGCAAGUAUUUUGAGAUUAUUCAUAUGUGGACAGGUUUUUUAAAUUCUGAACUGUCUUUCUUUAUUAUAAAUAUUAUAAAAUUGAAUAAUCUUUUUAUUCCAAUCAGCUUCAAAAGAUUGGAUAAUGUAUUAUCAUGUAUAUCAAAUAAAAUUCAAUAUACAUGAACAGGUUGCAAAGAAGUCUGAGCCAUUCAUUCUGGCCAGACACAGAUGUAAAAUAUUUCAAUUUCUUUAUAUUAAGUCUUGAAAUAUUAUUGUGCCAUGAUUUAAGUUGUCCAGCUAUAUUGUUGUAGUUGGAAUCUAAAACUGAGAAUGAACAUACCCUUAAAUGGGAUAUUUUUAUUGCACUCUGGGAGUGGUGAUGUAGAACAUGAAAAUUGUUCUGGAAAAGAUAGUAUUGAUCAAUACAGGGCAUAAAGGGCUGAUCACCCUACGUGCUCGUAAGUUAAGACGAUUGUUCAUCUGAUAAAAUUUCUGAUUGAACCUUUUCAAGAAAAAGAAAAAUAUGUACAUGGUCUUAAAACCUCUCAGUUAUUCAAUAUUGUUAUGAUAAUCCAGAAAUGUGAAUGAUUUGAGAUUCGUUGCUUUACAAUUUUAAUUCACUGUCAAAGCAUGCUUCAAAGAAAAUAUUUAUUUCUUGUUAAGCUUUAAAAAAAUGCUAUUACUUGCGGAGCAAUUAAAUGCUCAUACUUGUUUAUUUAUAAAUGUUUUCAGCUGAGCAGACUCGGGCGGAAGGGUCUAGAAAAGACAAGAAAAAAGGAGAAAUAAUAGAAUAGCUGAAAGUUGAUGUAAUAGAUAGUUUUCAUGUUUGUAAAUAUUAAACUAUCAUGUAAUGAACGUUUAAAGGUCUACGUACCUGGGAUUAAAAGAACUUUGAUGUAAUAACUUUACUAAAUAUUGGUUUAUUAUAUUCUGAACAUUUUAUAUCGUGAGCACUGAAUAAGGGUUUCAAGUACCCGAAUUUGGGGGCGUCACAGGUGAACCGUCACUAUAAUCCAAAAAAAUCAUUGUUCUAGACGAUUUUGUACUACACAAAUGUGUAUAUACAUUUGUGUAUGUGUGUGGCAUUGCAUGCAUUGUGCUUUCGCGCGUGCGCGUGUGGCAUUGCAUGCAUUAUGCUUCCGACAUCCUUUUAUUUAUAAAGUUAACUUUAGAGUAUAUUUAGGUUAUAGUACUAUUAGAGAUGUAUAAAAGGCUCGAGUAGGUCCAGCCUGGUCAAAAUUCGGCCUAAUCAAGGCCUGGUCCGGUCAGACCUGGCUUGAAAGGCUUGAAAAGGCCACUAUUUUUAAAUAAAAAUCUCGUUUGACCUGCAAAAAAAGCAUGGCAUGAGGCCUGGUUUAGCCUGAGGCCUGGCUAGACCUUGAGGCCUUACAUGUUUUUUUAUCCAGUUAUUUGUAAUUUUUGAAUUUUAAAGUUAUAAUUAUUCAUCAAUAAAGUAUAAAUUUUAUUUAAUCAUUAUUUUAAUUUAUAAAUUAUAAUACAUUAAUUUUAAUUAAUACAUCAAUAAAUUUAAAAUUUUAACUAGUCAUUCUUAAUUUCUUGUAAAUAGAUUUAAUUAAUAUACAUUUUCAAUGAAUAGAACUAGUUAGUAUAUUUAAUAUUAAUAAUAAUUUACUUACUUAAUUGAUUAAAUAUUAAUAAUAAGUUAGUUUUAUUGUAAAAACUAAAUUACUAAUAUUUAACAAUAAAAUUUUAUUAAUAUUUUUUGAUAUUUUUAAUGUUAAAUAUUAACAUUAAUUAAUACAUCAAUAAAUUAAUUUUUAAUAUUAAAUAUUAAUAAUAAGUUAGUUUCUUGUAAAUACUCAAGUUAUUCAUUAAUUUGUAUUUAUAAUUUAUAUUUUUAAUAUUUAAUAUUUAACAUUAAAAAAGACCGGACAAGACUAGCCAAUGCCUUGGGCUCGCCCCGACCUCGAGCCUGACCUAGAUUUGGGUCUGGCUUGGCCUGCAGGCCUAAUCAAACCACAACCCAUCGACCAAGGUUUGGCCUAACCUGACGACCAAAAGUCAACGGCUUAACCUGACCUGAUCAAAGCCUAAGGCCUAUCAAAUCCAGACCAGACUAGACUAGACCAAAUCGACAUGUUGUGCAUCUGUUAGUAGUCUAGUAGUAUUUCAAUGACUUAAAAAAGUUGUUAAUUUAAUUGGGUAUGGUGCAGGUACAAGGGGUUGAGAAAGAAGUUGAAUCAGUUAUUGAAGCGGUACUCAUUGGUCAAGUAAAUAGUAAUGUCACAAAAAAAGAAGUAAGUGAUGGUAGCCACUGGCGGAACUAGGAGGCAGGGAGGUCAUAUGACCCCUCAACUCUAGAAUCUGAAGUGUGCUAAUAUUAGUUAAAUUUGAUCUUUGUUAUGAGAUAGUAUUAAUUUAUUUGCUUUCUCAUGUCCUUCCACCUAUAAUAAAUUAACAAUAUUACUAUAAGAUAAAAUGAUGUUAAAUAAAUUUGAUAAUUAAUUAAUUAAUAUUGCACUCAUUUGUCUUACUAAUUUAAUCAUACGUUGGUAUCAAAUUUUUUGUAAAUGAGAAUAACUUAAUUUAUUUUUUUGCUUUGAGUGGCUCCUCUCAAUUCUCUCCAAGAAGAUGACUAGAACCACAAUAUAAGAUUUUAAAUAUAUAAUAUUAUAAUUUGUAAUUUGUAAUUUAUAUAUAUACAAGUAUAUUUUUCCAAUUUGAAGUUUUUAGUCAACUGAUCAUCUACUUUUAUGGAUAAAUUACAAAUUAUAAUAUUAUAUAUUUAAAAUUUUAUAUUGUGGUUCUGGUCAUUUUCUUGGAGAGAAGUGAGAGGAGCCACUCAAAGCAAAAAAAAAAAAAAUUAAGUUAUUCUCAUUUACAAAAAAUUUGAUAUCAAGGUAUGAUUAAAUUAGUAAGACAAAUGAGUGCAAUAUUAAUUAAUUAAUUAUCAAAUUUAUUUAACAUCAUUUUAUCUUAUAGUAAUAAUGUUAAUUUAGGUGGAAGGACAUGAGAAAGCAAAUAAAUUAAUACUAUCUCAUAACAAAGAUCAAAUUUAACUAAUAUUAGCACAAUUCAGAUUCCAGAGUUGGGAGGUCAUAUGACCCCUAGUUCCGCCAGUGGCUACCAUCACUUACUUCUUUUUUUGUGACAUUACUAUUUACUUGACCAAUGAGUACCGCUUCAAUAAUUGAUUCAACUUCUUUCUUAACCCCUUGUACCUGCACCAUACCCAAUUAAAUUAACAACUUUUUUAAGUAUAUAUAUAUAUAUAUAUAUAUAUAUAUAUGGGAGCGAUCCAUAGCAUCUAUAUGCUAUGGGAUAAAAAGUGGCAUAUAGGCUCUAAUCCGUCCGUUUUAUUGAUGAAAGGCUGCGAUCAGAUUUGGGUCAUCACCGUCCGCUAGACUUACUAGCGGACGUAAUUAGUAAAAAUACUGGACGCUUAUGCCCCCUUUAGACUGGAAGACUUGUGCGAAUUAACAGUAUGUACAGCGUCCGCUAGUAUGUCUAGCGGACGGUAAGUUACUAAAAAGAAUUGGGGCUCCUGUGCAAUACGAACACCUCUACAUGUACAUACUGUUACAAUUACAACACAGCUUACAUAGCAGCCCACAAGACAGAUUCAACACAAACUCCUCAUAUGGUUACAAUUACAACACAAUCUCCUCAUAUGGUUACAAUUACAUUAACACAAACUCCUCAUACUGAUGAAAUUGCAACACAGCUAGAAUUCUGUUACAACACAGCUGCACCACAAACUACCUUGCAAAAUAGAUACUGUUACACAGCUGCAACACAAUUUAUACGUAUGGAGAUAUUGUUACAACACAGCUAGCAUAUUGUUCAGCAAUUCAAUUACAACAGAAUAUGAAUUGAUUACAAAUUAUUCUAAAUUUUUCAUUGUUCCUGUACACCAACAAAUAAGGAAAACAAAAUAUUAUAGCCGCCUUCAACUGACAUCAAGGAAGAAAAUCACACAAUUAAUCAAGCAAGUCAUCGCACCUCAAAUCGUCGUGGUAAGUUUAGAAUUAUGACGGAAGAUAUGUUUAAUUCUAGUUCUUCAAAUUCUUCUCGUGAUAAUAUUGACAUGCUUAAUAUUGGUGCUCAUAACAUGAACCAAUCGCAUAUUAACGAUUCAAAAAGUCCAUACGAGGGUCAGAUUUUUUCUACUAUCCAAGAGGCGGAAGAAUUUUAUAGAAACUAUGCACGAAGUAGAGGAUUUGAAAUAAAAAUUGGUGCAAGUCAUAAACAUGCCCGCUCCAACAAUUUGUCCAACAGACUUUUUACGUGUACCAAAGCAAGAAAACCGAUCGAAAGAAAGAAACAGGAUAUUGAUGAAGCUGAAGGCAGUAAGGUCAAAAGAAAAAGGGAUUCAAUAGGUCGCACGAUGUACAAAGCUAGAAUGUUUGUUGUUCAUCUACAAAAGGAAGAUACAUGGAAAGUUUCAAAAAUUGAGUUGACUCACAAUCAUGAUUUGGUUACUCCGAGCAAGAAAAUUUUCAUUCAAACACGGAAAAAUAUAACUCCUGUUGCUCGAACUUUAAUCGAAACUUUAAACAGCGCUGGAGUUGGGCCAAGUACAAUGAUGAAUGUUUUUAGUGAAAUAGGAGGAGGGAGGGAAAAUGUUGGUUUCAGUGAUAUGGAUAUUCGGAAUGUUGUGCGAGAUUUAAGACGUGACACGAUAGAUUCUAACGAUGCCCAAGCAGCCCUGCAGUAUCUCAAAAAACUUUCAGUUGAAAAUCCUCUAUUUUUUUACGAUAUCAAACGAGAUGAAGAUCAUCGUAUCGCAUGCAUUUUGUGGAUAGAUUACCGAUCAAUGAUAGUUUACAAAAAUUUUGGGGAUGUAGUGACAUUUGAUACAACUUAUCAGACAAACAAGUAUUUCACGCCUUUUGUUCCAUUCACUGGGGUAAAUCACCAUUACCAUUCCGUCUUGUUUGGUUUUGCACUGAUACAGGAUGAAACGGAGGAUACUUUUGUAUGGGUCUUUGAGACAUGGCUUCAUGCAAUGAACAAUAAGGCACCGGUUACCAUUAAAACAAUAAUGCAAUGAACAUUUAUGUUCCGUCCUCAACUCCACCAUGUUUUCAGCAUUAGAUGGAUAUGACUGCAAAUAUCCAAAUUGCCUCAUAAAUCUGUCAGGCAUUUGAAACUCAACAAUGUCGUAAUGAAUCAAAGGUAUACGUGCAGCUCCACCUAACCUUGCCUCAAAAAAGUCCCAACUCAAACGUGUGUCAAAUAUCUGAUAUGGCCGCCAUGCCCAAUCUGUUUUCAACAUGUCAUCAAACUCUCCUCGGUAAAACACAAGAUGGUGAUGUGGAUUUUUGCGGCGCUGAUAUUGUUUGGAAUUUGGAUCAAAAGAAGAGUAUGCCCAGGAUAAUGCCCUAGGUAUCAACUUCUGGGAAUUAGGUCGAGGGGUAGGACGACCAAUGUUGAACCUUUCGUGAGCCCACAUCAUAAGGAAGGUUGCACAUCCUGCAAAUUUUUUCGCUAUUUUCCGAGUAGCCUCAUGCAAACCCCUAUACAAAUGCCCUAAAACUGCUGCCCCCCAAGCAUAUGUAAUUAUGUCUUCCAAUCUUUCCAAUAACAAUAAAUACCUAGGAUGCACUAUAUUUUUACUCUUCGUAGGAAACAAAAUAGCGCCACACAAAUACAACAAAUAUGCCUUAGUGUGUUUUAUCACAUCAUCUGAAGUAGCAUCUUUAGGUAAUUGUCCAUAUCUGUGUCUUAACCAAGGCAAACUUAUGCCCCCCCCCCCUUUUAAAGCACUGUUCCCAAUCCUCUACUGCUACUUGUUGCCCAAAAACCCUUAUAAAAUAGCUUUUGGGAUGUUCUAGUUCUCCGCAAGUCAAAGAUUUUCCUAAUAUGGGCAACCCGAAUAUAAAUCCCACAUCCUCUAAAGUAAUGUCGACCUCUCCACAUUUUAAGUGAAACGAAUUUGUUUCACUCCUCCAACGCUUAACAAAAGAAGAUACAAGAGAUGCAUCAAUCUUUGCACUACAUCUUGAUGACAAAAUAUACCAAAACCUAACUGUUCCAAUAGAUAUUCUUGUUGUUUAGUCAAGUUCCAUUCAAUUAAUUAUGCAGACAUCUGACAAAUUUCUAACACACCCCUAUCCUACAAGUUAAACAGAGGAUACAUACAUAAUUAAAUUGUCAAAAUAUGAAAGUUUUUUAUAAAAUUUUAAGAGAAAUAUGAGAUAUGUGACAAUAAACUUACAAUAUUUUGUCAUAAGUCAGAAGAUACAUGAUUUUCUUGGUCCCAUAAGAUAACAGGAUCAAAAGGUCCUGGAUUGAUAUCCAUAUAUGUCCUAAAAAUUCAACACAAUGUCAAGUAUUAAACAAUCACAGAACUGAAGUAAAUAAACCCCCCAAAAUAGAACAUUUUGACUAUAGAUUAAAAAUAUUUAACUCACCUGUAUUAUGACGAACUCGGGAUAUAAUCAGGGCUCACACCAGAGUUAUAAGGACUGCAAGACGCAACAUAUGAAUGCAAUCAUUUUAGAGUACAAUCAAAUUACAAAUAAAAACAUAUAACUUUGGUGAUGCAACAAUAGGAGGAAAUGCAGCAUAUUCAGGUUGUAAUAUGGGGGAAAUAAAUAGUUCAUCUAACUGACCUGAAAAAUAAGAAGAAAACAACAUAUUACAUAACUCAAUUCUUCAAUCUAGAACAGAGCUCCAUAUUACAAUAAAAAAAUGCAAUUUUUAUACCAAAUCAAUGUUCAAAUUACAAUGGCAUGUUUAAAUGCAAAAAACAAUCGAAGAAGAGAUAAUCAAAUGUACCUGGAAGAAGUAGAUUGCAACUCAAAAAACGUGAAAAGGCAUAGAACACUUCACGUUUUUGGCUGAGAUUUGCAGAUGAUUGCUUCUAGGGUUCUUCGGUUUUCGCACAAUUCGCAGAACAAUUCACGAACUCUUCCUAUGUUUUAAUUUCGAGAACUUCGAGAACUUCCAGGUGAUUUGUAGGUGAUUUGGGGGAUGGAUUGCUUCUAGGGUUUUUCGCUUUUCUCCCAAUUCGCACUUCACGCACGAUUCCUUUGUAUUUCACUUGCAACGGAUUUGGGGAAUGACGGCUUCUAGGGUUCUUCGUUUUUUUCCCAAAUUCGCACUUUCAAGCACAAUUCGAUCCUCUGUAUUUCUCUUGCAAAGGAUUUGGGGAAUGACGGCUUCUAGGGUUAGGGUUCGUCGGAUUUCGCCCAAUUCGCAACGCUGCAUAUUUGGUCCAUAUUUGGUCUAUUUGAGGGGCUUAAGCGUCCAGUAUUUUUACUAAUUACGUCCGCUAGUAAGUCUAGCGGACGGUGAUGACCCAAAUCUGAUCGCAGCCUUUCAUCAAUAAAAUGGACGGAUUAGAGCCUAUAUGCCACUUUUUAUCCCAUAGCAUAUAGAUGCUAUGGAUCGCUCCCCAUAUAUAUAUAUAUAUAUAUAUGUGUGUGUGUGUGUGUGUGUGUGUGUGUGUGUGUAUUUAAAGUCAUUAAACUCAUAACUCAAAGGUUUACUAAGGUUAGAAUAGGAUGUUGUGAAAUACUAUAAUUGCAUGGGUAAAAUGAAUUUGAAAGAAGCACUACAAGCGUCAAUAAAUAAAUUUUUUUUUACUGAUGUAUUUUGACCACUCUCUAAAAAUGUUCUGGUUCUGCCACUGAUAAUAGCAUACAAAUUCAUAACUCGAAAAAAGUUCCUAAAAAAAACUUUAGGCUCAAUAUACAUCUUACAUAUGCAUCAUCAUUACUAUAUGAGCUAUAUGUAUAUAUACAACUGUAUAAAUACACAGUCGUCUAUGACGAUGAUUUUUUUGGGCUAUUACCGUACCAUCGCCAUAGACCAAAAUAGCUAAAGCGACGGUCGGGUGAACCGUCGCUAUAGCCUAAAAAAAUCACCACCAUAGGCGACUGUGUACUACACAGCUAUAUAUAUACAUUUUUCCUUUACUAUAUAUAUAUAUAUAUNNNNNNNNNNNNNNNNNNNNNNNNNNNNNNNNNNNNNNNNNNNNNNNNNNNNNNNNNNNNNNNNNNNNNNNNNNNNNNNNNNNNNNNNNNNNNNNNNNNNUUUUUUACACAAUUUUUUGACUCUUAGAUUUGAACACUCUUAAUGGCUAAAAUUAAAGCUGAUUUUUAAUUUAUAACUAAAUAAAAAUAAAAACAAAACCCGGUGCUUUUCAUCUUCAUCUUUUUCACAUCUAAAACUUCAACCUGGAGCUGUCAAACUGUCAGAUGGAGGAAGCCCAAGAUGUAUCAUCCAACUCUCACCUAUCUCUAGUAUGUUACCAUAGUCUUUAUUUUUGUUUUUAUUUAGUUAUAAAUUAAAAAUCAACUUUAAUCUUAGCCAUUAAGAGUGUUCAAAUCCAAGAGUCAUAAAAAACUUAUUGUCAUUGAUUCGUCCCUAUAUAUAUAUAUAAGGUCUCCAUCUGUGGUAAUCGGUUGCCACAAAUACUAUUCUAACAACCAUAAUCUUCACCGUUGAUCAACAAAAUAGAUGGUAUAAAUUGAAAAGGAAUUUAUACAUGCCGCUACAACUUGUAGCAACAACAACAAAACUUGUGGCAGCUAGACUAAUUACUCUCAUGCUCCUGCCAUAUUAUUAUGCUUUAGUGCCUGUAACUACAAACUGUAGCGACGGUGUAGCAAUUUUAGCUCCCUCCGUUUCAUUGUUGUUGCUCCUUUAUGAUACUCAUAUUAGGAAUUUGGGAUUGAACUUAGCUUUUAUGCCUUAGUUUCAUGGAAAAUACUAAUUAAUUUUAUUAAUAAUGUACAAUAUUUUUACUUGCUAUCAAUUGAUUUUAUUAUUAUUAUUAUUAUUAUUAUUAUUAUUAGUACAUGCUAAUAAAUUCAUGGAAAGUACUAAUUGAUUUUAUUAUUAAUGUACAAUAUUUUUACUUACUACCAAUUGAUUUUAUUAUUAUUAUUAUUAUUAUUAUUAUUAUUAUUAUUUUAGGCAACAUUUAGAGUAUUAUAUUUUUCUUUCGUUUCUUGUUAACUUAUUCUAUUACAAUUCGAUUCUACGGAUACAUUUCAUAUUAUAGCUUAGGGGGUACUAAGGGGAAAUCUAGGAAAAUUUUACAUUUUUUAUAUUGGUUAAUAAAAUUAUUAUAUAUAUGUACGUAGCUAAAAUUGUUUCAUACUAAACGUUGAGAGGGAGAUAAGAGGAAAUGAUAACAUAUUCCUCCUUGUUUUUUUAAAAUUGGUAUUUCCAUCUUAAUUUUUAACAUAACAAUAAUUAAGCAUCCAUGUUUUAAUGCACAAAUCUUAUUAUAUAGUUGUUUUCAUGAAUGAGAGAAAGAAAAAAUACAAUUGUUUAAGGUUGCAGAUGAACCAAGUUAGUUGAAGGUUUGAUUUGGAUUCUUGUGUUAUAUAAUAUAUAAGCAAGACUUGGGCUUUGAGUUUAAUACAAGUUCUUUAGUUUAUUAUUAUUAUUAUUCCCACCUUAAUUGGCACUAUUUAAAUUAACUGCAAAUCGUGCAUCUUCACUUCAUAAUCGUGGGCCCCACCAUUCCUCAUCCACCUCCAUAAUCUACCCCCCNNNNNNNNNNNNNNNNNNNNNNNNNNNNNNNNNNNNNNNNNNNNNNNNNNNNNNNNNNNNNNNNNNNNNNNNNNNNNNNNNNNNNNNNNNNNNNNNNNNNNNNNNNNNNNNNNNNNNNNNNNNNNNNNNNNNNNNNNNNNNNNNNNNNNNNNNNNNNNNNNNNNNNNNNNNNNNNNNNNNNNNNNNNNNAGUCUCUUCUUAUUCAAGCUUACCCACCACCAAACAACUCCAUAAUUUCCUUCCUUUCACGCCUCUCCUUCCCCCACAUACACAAUACACUAUUUUCCUUCACCUCAAAACAUGCAAAUAUAAUUGCUCUUUUAUAAAACACUACUCAAAAUAACAGUCAUAUAUAUACAUACAUACAUACAUAUCUUUGAAAAUGGCAAGCUGGACUACAAUCAACCAGAAGCUGAGUCCCGGUGGAGGCCUCAACCUCUUGCAGAAUUGUGACUUACCUCCGCCGCUCAAGGUUUCUGCCGGUACAGAUAAGGCAGUUUUGUCAUCCAUGAAUAGAAUUUGGACCAUCAUGGGCCAGGAAGACCAGAGCCAGGACCACCUCCUUCAGAUAUGUACAGGUGAUGACCGCUCAGAUAACACUGAGAAGUUGGGGCUUUUGAAGGCGUUGCAAUUAUCGCAAACGCGAGCAAGGGAAGCAGAGAGAAAAGCUGCAAGGUUGAUAAAGGAGAGGGAAGCCAUUUCCAAUGCCCUACUGAAAGAGUCAUCGCAUUUGUUUGCGUAUCGGCAGUUGGUUAGGUUGCUUGAGCAUCCAGUGUCUAAGCUACGUAGGCAACAGCAACAUGGCUCAGGUGAUGGUGCAGGGAAUGUGCCAUGGCUCGUGGCUUUAGCAAUCUGUUUGGGUAUUGCUGGUGUGGGUUUCGCAUUUGGUUGCAGAUACUUUCUUUGAUAGUCUCUUUUCUCUUUCUUUGCUGUGAAGAAUUAGGUUUCAUUUUGUUAGAAAUGAGGACAAAGUAGUAGCUAACUAGUUAUGCAUAUAAAAUAUAUAUAUAUAUAUAUAUAUAUAUAUNNNNNNNNNNNNNNNNNNNNNNNNNNNNNNNNNNNNNNNNNNNNNNNNNNNNNNNNNNNNNNNNNNNNNNNNNNNNNNNNNNNNNNNNNNNNNNNNNNNNUAAGUUACCACUACUUGGCUGUCCCAAGUGCGUGUAGCUACUAUAUACAUCUAGGUAUACUUGCCUAAUAAUCUGGUUUAUGUACACAUACAUGUCAACAAGUUGGUCAGGGUUCUCAGAUAAUUGCCUGGUGUAUGGACCUCAGAUGGCCGUAACAAUCAUCACUGCUCCCAAAGGACUCCAAGCAGACCCAACAUAUGUGCCUCCCACACCUACACUCUACAUGGUUGCACCCAUCCACCUUCUCAAUAGUAAAACCACAUAUAGGGCAAUGCUUCACAUGCUCCUUUCCCUUGCACCACUCCUUCAAUGAGGAAUCUGGAUCUUCCUUGAAUUCCCUAUACCUCUCACAUGACAGAUAUGGAUGGUACUCCAGGUGACACUUGGUACAGGUCUCCACGGAACAUGCACCGCAAAAAAAUGGUGUGCCAGCACAGCCAGGAUCUGCCACUCGAUAAACUGAAGGGCAGUCGGGAGAGGGGCAAAACCUGAAAAUGCCCCCACUAGCUGCAACAAAAGACCCCAAAGAAGCCCUAAAAAGUUCCUCUAAUUUCUCAUUCAACAAUAGAAACCUCAAGUCAGAAAUUAAAAUACAAGCACCACAAUUCUUGUAGGUACAACGCAUUGGGAAACUAUCCUGGCUUUUUAUUGCUGACUCACACUGCUCAACUAAACAUAACCGGCAAAAUUCAUGCCCACAUCCUUCAAUCCGGUAACCAUCCUCCACUUCACACAAGCAAAUGGGACAGGCAGCUUCAUUACCAAUUUUCUGUGGACUACUUGUCUGUGCAAUCUCAUAUAUUAAUUUUUCAACCUUUUGCUUUACUUGUUUGCUACCAUGAAUAGAGAUGAAAUGGUA
Molecule: long non-coding RNA, 18337 nt
Filed under: Panax ginseng (ginseng)
Lineage: Eukaryota; Viridiplantae; Streptophyta; Magnoliopsida; Apiales; Araliaceae
Description: long non-coding RNA (PGIN_LNC015744)
Source: RNAcentral